UACGUAGGGGGCUAGCGUUGUCCGGAAUCAUUGGGCGUAAAGAGCGUGUAGGCGGCCCGGUAAGUCCGCUGUGAAAGUCGGGGGCUCAACCCUCGAAUGCCGGUGGAUACUGUCGGGCUAGAGUGCGGAAGAGGCGAGUGGAAUUCCUGGUGUAGCGGUGAAAUGCGCAGAUAUCAAGAGGAACACCGAUUGCGAAGGCAGCUCGCUGGGACGUAACUGACGCUGAGACGCGAAAGCGUGGGGAGCAAACAGG
Molecule: ribosomal RNA, 253 nt
Filed under: uncultured bacterium
Lineage: Bacteria
Description: partial 16S ribosomal RNA
Rfam family: Bacterial small subunit ribosomal RNA
Source: RNAcentral